Prunus avium (sweet cherry) is the source of this 406-nucleotide non-coding RNA. NCBI's taxonomy places the organism in Eukaryota, Viridiplantae, Streptophyta, Magnoliopsida, Rosales, Rosaceae. The record is from RefSeq and is a predicted model, not a curated record.
UUGAUGGCAACUGAGACGAAAAAAAUUGAUGGAUCGAUAAAACUGAUUAAACUUCAACGUAAUAAAAUGAAAAUUACCCUAAAAAUAAGACAAAGAAACCUACCCGCCACAGACGUCUGGUGCAUAUACCGACUAAAACCCUCCUGUGAAAGCUAAAACGACAUCGGCACGAUCUUCACAACCAGCCCAUUCCCAGUAUUGGGUUUUCUGCAGAAACAAAAACAAAAAAUGGGUAACAACAAGCGGUUCAAGAACCACAAGCCCCAUCGUGGACAAUCUAGUCGGACCAAUAACCAUCUUCCACGUGAAGGUGAUUCCCUACCAUCUGAUCAAGCUACGGAAGAGGAGCCAACGGGUCCCAAAAUCCAGCUUGCAAUGUGGGUAUGCAUUUCUUUUCUUGUUGAUU